This 1206-nucleotide long non-coding RNA is filed under the name Nicotiana benthamiana. RNAcentral's name for it is "long non-coding RNA (NBEN_LNC012638)". Lineage: Eukaryota; Viridiplantae; Streptophyta; Magnoliopsida; Solanales; Solanaceae. The record is from RNAcentral.
GGUGGCCUAUGGGUCUUAGACAGUGUGGUCUUAUGUGCGAAUCUCGUGUGGUAACCUGAGUUGAGAUAUUGUGGUGCUAUAGCAAGGGAGAAUAUCAAAUUAAUGAUGAAUCAGGAAGGAAAUUAGAUAAAUGGAAUAGCUUGAUAAUAAACCGAAUCGGUAUGGUAAGAGUAUGAUUAUUUCUUGUAUAUGUUUGAGGCAAUGAGCCUUACAGGUAUUGUGCAGUAAAGCUUUUAUGCGUUGGCAGUUUGCUUAUCUUGAUCUGGAUAGAAGGACUCAGUCCUGGCAAUUCAGUUGGUGUAAUGGAAUUGGACAACGAGUUCUUCAUGUGUUUUACCAUGGUUUGAAAAUGAGUAUGUUUCCUAUAGGUAUGUGAAGCAUGGGUUGUGUAAUAAUUUUUCUCCUAUAUGGGAUCAUGAAAGUUCUUGACUAGUUGAGUGCGUUGAUGUACCGCGGUUUGAAAAUGAGUAUAUUCCUAUAGGUACGCGAAGCAUGGAGUGUGGUAAUUUUUCUCCUAUAUAGGAUCAUGAAAGUUUUGGCUAGUUGAGUGCGUUGAUGUCUAUGGCACAUGAGAGAGAUAGAAGUCCUCAUGUUAUCCUAGUGUGAUAUGGUCUAUGUGGUAUGAUAUGGAGAAUUGAUAUUUACGUGUGCAAGGUUUGGUUCAGUUCAUAAUGGGAAAUCAUUAAAGUUCUUGAGUAGCACGGUCAGCUACAGGUGAGUAAAGAACCGAUCAUCACAUGAUUAAGGUGAUGUAAAUUGAUGAUACGUCAGUAGCAUUGCGACAUUUUUCUUGUUGUAUCGACUGCGGAUAUUUGAGGUUGUUGAUGGCGCGGGGAAUUUUGAAUAUUUUUUGUGGUAUGAAUGGAUUCUUGAUGUGUGUUAUGUAUUCGUACGGCAGAGUGUGGGAUCAGGAACAGUGAUUCAUGCGUUAUAUGUGUUGGAGACUGGAAGUUCUCGUAAUCCGACCAUGCGGCGGUUGUGGGUCGCGUGUAUCGACAUUGUCUAGAAAUUAUUGGAAAUUGGAGGUCCGAGUGGAUCUUUCUUUGCUUAGUAUGUUAAAUUUGUGGUUAUGAUAUUAGAUUGCAGACUGGUUGUCCCAAUGUCAGGUUGUCUAGACUAAUGUGUUAUGGGCUAUGUAAGAAAAUGCCACAGGUUGUGUGGUAAGGUACAUCGGAUUAUGUUCUAGCAUGGUAGCUUGUAUUCCAG